Molecule: long non-coding RNA, 250 nt
Organism: Oncorhynchus keta (chum salmon)
Lineage: Eukaryota; Metazoa; Chordata; Actinopteri; Salmoniformes; Salmonidae
Exons: 4
Source: RefSeq, a predicted model, not a curated record
GGGGUGUGGAGGGAGGGAAGGCUGGGGGGAGGUGGGGUGUGGAGGGAGGGAAGGCUGGGGGGAGGUGGGGUGUGGAGGGAAGGAAGGCUGGGGGGAGGCGGGGUGUGGAGGGAGGGAAGGCUGGGGGGAGGUGGGGUGUGGAGGGAAGGAAGGCUGGGGGGAGGUGGGGUGUGGAGGGAAGGAAGGCUGGGGGAGGAGGGGUGUGGAGGGAAGGAAGGCUGGGGGAGGAGGGGUGUGGAGGGAGGGAAGG